AGGAACCGUUGAUUCGCA
RNAcentral lists this small nuclear RNA (18 nucleotides) under Arabidopsis thaliana (thale cress). RNAcentral describes it as "snRNA_07745". Lineage: Eukaryota; Viridiplantae; Streptophyta; Magnoliopsida; Brassicales; Brassicaceae. The record is from RNAcentral.